Molecule: long non-coding RNA, 315 nt
Filed under: Olea europaea (common olive)
Lineage: Eukaryota; Viridiplantae; Streptophyta; Magnoliopsida; Lamiales; Oleaceae
Description: long non-coding RNA (OEUR_LNC012726)
Source: RNAcentral
AGGAGUUAGAAUUACCCUAUCAAUAUUGGGCUCAUUUUGAAGCUCGUAGUAAAUGGCGAAUUAUGGACUCAAGAAAAAUUCAAUUUGGAUUCGUUAAACUUGAGUUAUAGCCAAUUAAGAAAACUACUUAGUUAAUAAUAUUAUUUAUUAAUUCGAGCUAAAUUACAAUAUCAAUAUUGGACUCCUUUGAUGGAUAAUAAUUAAUUAUAUAUACUAGGAUUAAGGAAAAGAUAUUUUGGAUAAGUUGAAUUAAGAAAUAAUCAAUAGAAGAAUCAAGGCAUAAAGGAAAUUCUAAUUAAUUAAUAAACUUACCUU